Molecule: ribosomal RNA, 429 nt
Filed under: Gemmatimonadota bacterium
Lineage: Bacteria; Pseudomonadati; Gemmatimonadota
Description: Gemmatimonadetes bacterium partial 16S ribosomal RNA
Rfam family: Bacterial small subunit ribosomal RNA
Source: RNAcentral
UAGGGAAUCUUCGGCAAUGGACGAAAGUCUGACCGAGCAACGCCGCGUGAGUGAAGAAGGUUUUCGGAUCGUAAAACUCUGUUGUUAGAGAAGAACAAGGACGUUAGUAACUGAACGUCCCCUGACGGUAUCUAACCAGAAAGCCACGGCUAACUACGUGCCAGCAGCCGCGGUAAUACGUAGGUGGCAAGCGUUGUCCGGAUUUAUUGGGCGUAAAGCGAGCGCAGGCGGUUUCUUAAGUCUGAUGUGAAAGCCCCCGGCUCAACCGGGGAGGGUCAUUGGAAACUGGGAGGCGUGAGGGCAGAAGAGGAGAGUGGAAUUCCAUGUGUAGCGGUGAAAUGCGUAGAUAUAUGGAGGAACACCAGUGGCGAAGGCGGCUCUCUGGUCUGUAACUGACGCUGAGGCUCGAAAGCGUGGGGAGCAAACAGG